GGUAACAGAGAAGAGCUUGCUCUUUUGCUGACGAGUGGCGCACGGGUGCGUAACGCGUAUACAAUCUACCUUUUACUGGGGAAUAGCCUUUAGAAAUGAAGAAUAAUACCCCAUAGUAAGUAAUUUUCGCAUGGAAGAUACUUUAAAGUUUCGGCGGUAAAAGAUGAGUAUGCGUUCUAUUAGCUAGAUGGUAAGGUAACGGCUUACCAUGGCAACGAUAGAUAGGGGCCCUGAGAGGGGGAUCCCCCACACUGGUACUGAGACACGGACCAGACUCCUACGGGAGGCAGCAGUGAGGAAUAUUGGACAAUGGGCGAGAGCCUGAUCCAGCCAUGCCGCGUGCAGGAAGACUGCCCUAUGGGUUGUAAACUGCUUUUAUACAGGAAGAAACCACAGAACGUGUUCUGUGCUGACGGUACUGUAAGAAUAAGGAUCGGCUAACUCCGUGCCAGCAGCCGCGGUAAUACGGAGGAUCCAAGCGUUAUCCGGAAUCAUUGGGUUUAAAGGGUCCGUAGGUGGAUAAUUAAGUCAGAGGUGAAAUCCUGCAGCUCAACUGUAGAAUUGCCUUUGAUACUGGUUAUCUUGAGUUAUUAUGAAGUAGUUAGAAUAUGUAGUGUAGCGGUGAAAUGCAUAGAUAUUACAUAGAAUACCAAUUGCGAAGGCAGAUUACUAAUAAUCAACUGACACUGAUGGACGAAAGCGUGGGGAGCGAACAGGAUUAGAUACCCUGGUAGUCCACGCCGUAAACGAUGGUCACUAGCUGUUCGAACUUCGGUUUGAGUGGCUAAGCGAAAGUGAUAAGUGACCCACCUGGGGAGUACGUUCGCAAGAAUGAAACUCAAAGGAAUUGACGGGGGCCCGCACAAGCGGUGGAGCAUGUGGUUUAAUUCGAUGAUACGCGAGGAACCUUACCAGGGCUUAAAUGUAAAUUGACAGGUUUAGAGAUAGACUUUUCUUCG
This 959-nucleotide ribosomal RNA is filed under the name uncultured bacterium. RNAcentral describes it as "bacterial SSU rRNA". It matches the Rfam family "Bacterial small subunit ribosomal RNA", at positions 68 to 1020 of the family's 1533-position model. The record is from RNAcentral.